AUGGUGAAGCCGCGAAUGGCUCAUUACAACAGCCACUGUUUACUUGAUCUUGAUUAUCCUACUUGGAUAACUGUGGUAAUUCUAGAGCUAAUACACGCAAUAAAGCUCCGACCUUACGGGACGAGCGCAUUUAUUAGACCAAAACCAAUCGGGCCUCGGCCUGAACGGUGGUGACUCUGAAUAACUGAGCUGAUCGCAUGGUCUUUGUACCGGCGACGCAUCUUUCAAGUGUCUGCCUUAUCAACUUUCGAUGGUAGUUUAUGUGCCUACCAUGGUUGUUACGGGUAACGGAGAAUAAGGGUUCGACUCCGGAGAGGGAGCCUGAGAAACGGCUACCACAUCCAAGGAAGGCAGCAGGCGCGCAAAUUACCCACUCUCGGCACGAGGAGGUAGUGACGAAAAAUAACGAGGCGGUUCUCUAAGAGGCCCGCUAUCGGAAUGGGUACAAUUUAAA
This 454-nucleotide ribosomal RNA is filed under the name unidentified nematode Sourhope farm. Its description in RNAcentral is "SSU rRNA". It matches the Rfam family "Eukaryotic small subunit ribosomal RNA", at positions 78 to 529 of the family's 1831-position model. The record is from RNAcentral. Lineage: Eukaryota; Metazoa; Nematoda.